GACGCGCUAGAUUUAGGUUCUAGUAUCGUACGAUGUGCAGGUUCGAUUCCUGUCAUCCGCA
RNAcentral lists this transfer RNA (61 nucleotides) under Eubacterium sp. RNAcentral describes it as "tRNA-OTHER". Lineage: Bacteria; Bacillati; Bacillota; Clostridia; Eubacteriales; Eubacteriaceae. The record is from RNAcentral.